RNAcentral lists this ribosomal RNA (865 nucleotides) under uncultured soil bacterium. Its description in RNAcentral is "bacterial SSU rRNA". It matches the Rfam family "Bacterial small subunit ribosomal RNA", at positions 42 to 898 of the family's 1533-position model. The record is from RNAcentral.
GCGUGCCUAACACAUGCAAGUCGGAUGUGCCGCAAGGUGCAUGGCAGACGGGUGAGUAACGCGUGGGGAAUCUACCUUUUAGUGGGGAAUAACGCUCCGAAAGGAGUGGUAAUACCGCAUGAGACCGCAGCCUGGGAUGGUUGUGGUGAAACCUGGGGACCGGUAACGGCCUGGGGCUAAGAGAGGAUCCUGUGUCUGAUUAGCUAGUUGGCGGGGUAAUGGCCCACCAAGGCGACGAUCAGUAGCCGGCCUGAGAGGGUGAUCGGCCACACUGGAACUGAGACACGGUCCAGACUCCUACGGGAGGCAGCAGUGGGGAAUUUUGCGCAAUGGGCGAAAGCCUGACGCAGCAACGCCGCGUGGGUGAUGAAGGUCUUCGGACUGUAAAACCCUGUCGUCGGGGACGAAGGUUGUCGGUUGAAUAGACUGGCAGCUUGACGGUACCCGGAGAGGAAGCCCCGGCUAACUCUGUGCCAGCAGCCGCGGUAAUACAGAGGGGGCAAGCGUUAUUCGGAAUUAUUGGGCGUAAAGGGCGCGUAGGCGGUGUUUUAAGUGAGAUGUGCAAUCCCCGGGCUUAACCUGGGAACUGCAUCUCAGACUGGAACGCUGGAGUACUGGAGAGGGUGGUAGAAUUCCACGUGUAGCGGUGAAAUGCGUAGAGAUGUGGAGGAAUACCAGUGGCGAAGGCGGCCACCUGGACAGUAACUGACGCUGAGGCGCGAAAGUGUGGGUAGCAAACAGGAUUAGAUACCCUGGUAGUCCACGCUGUAAACGAUGAACACUUGGUGUGGCGGGAGUUGACCCCUGCCGUGCCGUAGCUAACGCGAUAAGUGUUCCGCCUGGGGAGUACGGUCGCAAGGCUGAA